GGUACCAUAGCUCAGUUGGUAGAGCAACGGACUGAAAAUCCGUGUGUCGCUGGUUCGACUCCCGCUGGUACCA
RNAcentral lists this transfer RNA (73 nucleotides) under Bacteroidales bacterium. RNAcentral describes it as "tRNA-Phe". It matches the Rfam family "tRNA". From Rfam's summary of the family: Transfer RNA (tRNA) molecules are approximately 80 nucleotides in length. Their secondary structure includes four short double-helical elements and three loops (D, anti-codon, and T loops). The record is from RNAcentral. Lineage: Bacteria; Pseudomonadati; Bacteroidota; Bacteroidia; Bacteroidales. RNAcentral also lists the same sequence under 1 other name.